Oncorhynchus tshawytscha (Chinook salmon) is the source of this 626-nucleotide long non-coding RNA. RefSeq lists it as uncharacterized. NCBI's taxonomy places the organism in Eukaryota, Metazoa, Chordata, Actinopteri, Salmoniformes, Salmonidae. The record is from RefSeq and is a predicted model, not a curated record. The transcript has 2 exons.
UUAUGCAUUUCACGGUGAGGUCUACAGCGGUUGUAUUCGGCGCAUGUGACAAAUGCAAUUUUAUUUUAUUUUAUCCUCUUUGGCCUCCCUCAAAGAUUUCACAUUCAACGUUAUGCUGCCCUCUGUUGGACAAAGUAUGAAUGCGUAGUGGUAAAGACAGGUCUCACGACUAUUCAUUCCUUGAAUAACAGGAACGAUUUACCAGAGGUGUAUGUAUUCAUUACGGAAACCGUUUACCGUUUAAGAACCAACAGAAGCUAAACAAGAGUUUCUGUUGGACAAAUUCAGCCAAGGUCGAUAAGGCCUACCCUGAGAGAAUUCAAAGCUGGAACUGCGUCGCAAAGGCCCUGAUGGAUGUGUUGGGAAACAACAUAAUACACAUCAACAUCAUGGAAAUCAACAAGUGUAUUUGUGUUCAUUCCAUUUACCAAGCACUGCCAAUUGAAUAGACUAGACAAUAGCACAAUACAACCAACUGUAUUGUGUACCUGCUGUUUUUCAGUUGUCAUGAUGAUGCAGACAAGAGUCUACUUGUUUUGACUAGCUAGUAACAUUAGCAUUUCAUUACACCCGUUAUAACAUCUGCUAAACUGUGUACUAGACCAAUAAACUUCGAUUUAAAUAUG